Chinchilla lanigera (long-tailed chinchilla) is the source of this 432-nucleotide long non-coding RNA. RefSeq lists it as uncharacterized. Lineage: Eukaryota; Metazoa; Chordata; Mammalia; Rodentia; Chinchillidae. The record is from RefSeq and is a predicted model, not a curated record. The transcript is spliced from 3 exons.
GGAAAGAAUUCCAAAGCUCUGUGUGUGUUGGGAGAAGAGUUCAAUACAGAAAAGGAUAAGUAAAUAGAAAUAGAAACAGAAGCAGAAAUCCUUCCCUUCCUGGAGUUCACAUUUGAGUUGGCGUGGGAAGACUUGCUAACACACAACAAAAAGUAACCAAAACAAAGGAUCCAUGUGGAUACCUUGAAUCUGCAACAGAGUAUAUACAUUUGAGCAGGAGCUUGAGAUAAAGAAAACAGUAACUGUGGUGUACCAUUAGCAGACACCAAGAUCUCCAGUAUGACCCAAAGCUGCCAUUUGACAUUUCCAGAAUGGAAGCCAUAUUUCCCUGCUUGUCUGGAUGGCUUGUGUAUGGAUGGAAGGAGCGCAGCAGAAGGCAAUGCCAAAGGACCUGGCAACCAUUCCUAAGGAGUCAGGAAAACUCUGAAUAUU